UACGGGGGGGGGCAAGCGUUGUUCGGAAUUACUGGGCGUAAAGGGCUCGUAGGCGGCCCACUAAGUCAGACGUGAAAUCCCUCGGCUUAACCGGGGAACUGCGUCUGAUACUGGAGGGCUUGAGUUUGGGGAGAGGGAUGCGGAAUUCCAGGUGUAGCGGUGAAAUGCGUAGAUAUCUGGAGGAACACCGGUGGCGAAGGCGGUUCUCUGGGCAUGUCCUGACGCUGAGGAGCGAAAGUGUGGGGGAGCGAACAGG
RNAcentral lists this ribosomal RNA (256 nucleotides) under uncultured bacterium. Its description in RNAcentral is "partial 16S ribosomal RNA". It matches the Rfam family "Bacterial small subunit ribosomal RNA", at positions 524 to 776 of the family's 1533-position model. The record is from RNAcentral.